CAUUGGAUUACAUAAAUCGAUGGCUAAGAAUUGUUUAUUUCUCAUCUAGUUUUCUCUGUACGUUUUCUCCCCAUCUCACUUCAUACUCACAGAUUCAUCUUUCUACUUUUUCUGCACAUCGCGUGCAUCCAUGGCGUACAAACUGAGUUUGGCCUCUCUUACCACCACCGGUCACCUGCAAAUAAAGUUUGCGACUUUGCCGAGCCGGAGCGUCCAAGACCAGUGAAGCUCCAAACAGAAUGUGAAGAAUAGGAAGAAGAUGCGGCAGAGGUGUUGUGGAGAUGAAAGAGGAAGAAGACGAUGCGGCAAGGUGGACGAGCUUGCGGUGAUUGAUGCGGCGGAGACGAUGAUGCGUCAGAAACAGAGAGGUGGCGAAGAUGUGGUGUGAAGAUGGGAGAUGGAAGAAGAAGAACAGAGAGGUGGUGGUGGCGGCUCUAUUAGAUUUAGACAUUUUAGGUUUAGUUUUUUUUUUUUUAGCUUGGUUUAGUUUUUUUUUUGGUUUAGCUUGGUUUAGUUUGUAUACCGGUUAACUAAUUUUGAUAUAUAAAGUUUUUAAAAUA
Raphanus sativus (radish) is the source of this 560-nucleotide long non-coding RNA. RefSeq lists it as uncharacterized. Lineage: Eukaryota; Viridiplantae; Streptophyta; Magnoliopsida; Brassicales; Brassicaceae. The transcript is spliced from 2 exons. The record is from RefSeq and is a predicted model, not a curated record.